RNAcentral lists this ribosomal RNA (844 nucleotides) under uncultured bacterium. RNAcentral's name for it is "bacterial SSU rRNA". It matches the Rfam family "Bacterial small subunit ribosomal RNA", at positions 31 to 887 of the family's 1533-position model. The record is from RNAcentral.
UGACGCUGGCGGCGUGCCUAACACAUGCAAGUCGAACGGUAACAGAUUGGAGCUUGCUUCAAUGCUGACGAGUGGCGCACGGGUGAGUAAUAUAUAGUUAAUGUACCCCUUAGACUAGGAUAGCCACUGGAAACGGUGAUUAAUACUGGAUAUACCUACUUGACAUAAGUUGAGUAGGGAAACGUUUUUUCGCUAAGGGAUCAGACUAUAUCGCAUCAGUUAGUUGGUGGGGUAAUGGCCUACCAAGACAAUGACGCGUAGCGGGUUUGAGAGGAUGAUCCGCCACACUGGUACUGAGACACGGACCAGACUCCUACGGGAGGCAGCAGUGAGGAAUAUUGCACAAUGGAGGAAACUCUGAUGCAGCAACGCCGCGUGGAGGAUGACGCAUUUCGGUGUGUAAACUCCUUUUAUCAAGGAAGAAAAUGACGGUACUUGAUGAAUAAGCACCGGCUAACUCCGUGCCAGCAGCCGCGGUAAUACGGAGGGUGCAAGCGUUACUCGGAAUCACUGGGCGUAAAGGACGCGUAGGCUGGUUUUUAAGUCUGAUGUGAAAUCCUAUGGCUCAACCAUAGAACUGCAUUGGAAACUGGGAACCUAGAGUAUGGAAGGGGCAGAUGGAAUUAGUGGUGUAGGGGUAAAAUCCGUAGAUAUCACUAGGAAUACCGAAAGCGAAAGCGAUCUGCUGGGACAUUACUGACGCUGAGGCGUGAAAGCGUGGGGAGCAAACGGGAUUAGAUACCCCGGUAGUCCACGCCCUGAACGAUGAAUGCUAGUCGUCGCGAUGCUUGACAUUGCGGUGAUGCAGUUAACACAUUAAGCAUUCCGCCUGGGGAGUACGGUC